CAAAUACCAGCCACAGCCUAUCGUCUGCAGAUACUAUUCCAGAUGUAAGGAGCAGUACACCAGAUACAGCUGUUGGAAGAAGCUCUGCAGAUGUUGGACGUCUCUUCAGAGCCAUGGUGACCGAAUCAGCACCACUUUUCGAUGAUAUCGCUGAGGAGGAUGAUUC
Molecule: long non-coding RNA, 166 nt
Organism: Bombina bombina (fire-bellied toad)
Lineage: Eukaryota; Metazoa; Chordata; Amphibia; Anura; Bombinatoridae
Exons: 3
Source: RefSeq, a predicted model, not a curated record